AGAACCUACCUUUUGGUUGAGGGAUACCAACUGGAAACGGUUGCUAAUACUUCGUAUGCUGAGAAGUGAAAGGUGGAAACAUCGCCAAGAGAGGGGCUUGCGUCUGAUUAGCUAGUUGGUAAGGUAAAGGCUUACCAAGGCUAUGAUCAGUAGCUGGUUUGAGAGGACGAUCAGCCACACUGGGACUGAGACACGGCCCAGAUCCCUACGGGGAGCAGCAGUGAGGAAUCUUCCGCAAUGGGCGAAAGCCUGACGGAGCACUAUCGCGUGGAGGAAGACGGCUCGUGAGUUGUAAACUCCUUUUGUCAGAGAAGAAAACUGACGGUAUCUGACGAAUAAGCAUCGGCUAAACUCUGUGCCAGCAGCCGCGGUAAUACAGGGGAUGCAAGCGCUGUCCGGAAUUAUUGGGCGUAAAGCGUUUUGAGGUGGGUCACCAAGUCUGCUGUGAAAGAUCAGGGCUUAACCCUGAAUAUGCGGUGUCACUUGAUAUUUUGUCGAGUGAAUACUUUUGUUUUACAAGAGUAUGAAACUAAUGGCCUUGAGUACGGUAGGGGUAGAGGGAAUUCUCGGAGAAGCGGUGAAAUGCAUAGAUAUCGGGAAGAACACCAACGGCGAAAGCACUCUGCUGGGCCG
Molecule: ribosomal RNA, 633 nt
Filed under: Jaagichlorella hainangensis
Lineage: Eukaryota; Viridiplantae; Chlorophyta; Trebouxiophyceae; Watanabeales; Watanabeaceae
Description: SSU rRNA
Rfam family: Bacterial small subunit ribosomal RNA
Source: RNAcentral